RNAcentral lists this ribosomal RNA (174 nucleotides) under uncultured bacterium. RNAcentral's name for it is "partial 16S ribosomal RNA". It matches the Rfam family "Bacterial small subunit ribosomal RNA", at positions 335 to 524 of the family's 1533-position model. The record is from RNAcentral.
ACUCCUACGGGAGGCAGCAGUGGGGAAUUUUCCGCAAUGGGCGAAAGCCUGACGGAGCAACGCCGCGUGAGGGAUGAAGGCCUCUGGGCUGUAAACCUCUUUUCUCUAGGAAGAAGAUCUGACAGUACUUGAGGAAUAAGCCACGGCUAAUUCCGUGCCAGCAGCCGCGGUAAU